This 274-nucleotide long non-coding RNA is filed under the name Elaeis guineensis (African oil palm). RNAcentral describes it as "long non-coding RNA (EGUI_LNC064040)". Lineage: Eukaryota; Viridiplantae; Streptophyta; Magnoliopsida; Arecales; Arecaceae. The record is from RNAcentral.
UUUAUCCUGUCCUUUCCAAUAUGGCCUAGUCUAUGAUGCCACAAGUACUUCUAGUUAAUUUUAUCUCUGGGUCUCUUUUAGCCCACGGCACUCACUAUUUGCUCGUUUAGGUUCACAUUUGCAUCAGCAUGCAAGUGAUAAAGACUGUCAAUUAAAAGACCUCAUGCAAUCAAUUUAUUUCAUAAAUAAAUGAAAUAAAAGUCUUUAUUGAAACUAAUUUCAAAACCAUUCUAUAUUAGCACAGACACAAAAAUCAAAUUUCGACUAGCUAUAG